GGAGAAAUGGCAGAGUGGUUGAAUGCAUCGCACUCGAAAUGCGACAAUCGUCUUUUCGACGGUUCAGGGGUUCAAAUCCCCUUUUCUCCGCCA
Molecule: transfer RNA, 93 nt
Filed under: Succinivibrio dextrinosolvens
Lineage: Bacteria; Pseudomonadati; Pseudomonadota; Gammaproteobacteria; Aeromonadales; Succinivibrionaceae
Description: tRNA_Ser_CGA
Rfam family: tRNA
About the family: Transfer RNA (tRNA) molecules are approximately 80 nucleotides in length. Their secondary structure includes four short double-helical elements and three loops (D, anti-codon, and T loops). Further hydrogen bonds mediate the characteristic L-shaped molecular structure. tRNAs have two regions of fundamental functional importance: the anti-codon, which is responsible for specific mRNA codon recognition, and the 3' end, to which the tRNAs corresponding amino acid is attached (by aminoacyl-tRNA synthetases). tRNAs cope with the degeneracy of the genetic code in two manners: having more than one tRNA (with a specific anti-codon) for a particular amino acid; and 'wobble' base-pairing, i.e. permitting non-standard base-pairing at the 3rd anti-codon position.
Source: RNAcentral